Molecule: ribosomal RNA, 519 nt
Filed under: uncultured Peptostreptococcus sp.
Lineage: Bacteria; Bacillati; Bacillota; Clostridia; Peptostreptococcales; Peptostreptococcaceae
Description: bacterial SSU rRNA
Rfam family: Bacterial small subunit ribosomal RNA
Source: RNAcentral
GAAGAGUUUGAUCAUGGCUCAGGACGAACGCUGGCGGCGUGCUUAACACAUGCAAGUCGAACGUGAUUUUUGUGGAAAUUCUUUCGGGAAUGGAAGCGAAAUGAAAGUGGCGAACGGGUGAGUAACACGUGAGCAACCUACCUUACACAGGGGGAUAGCCGUUGGAAACGACGAUUAAUACCGCAUGAGACCACAGAACCGCAUGGUAUAGGGGUCAAAGAUUUAUCGGUGUAAGAUGGGCUCGCGUCUGAUUAGCUAGUUGGAAGGGUAAAGGCCUACCAAGGCGACGAUCAGUAGCCGGUCUGAGAGGAUGAACGGCCACAUUGGAACUGAGACACGGUCCAAACUCCUACGGGAGGCAGCAGUGGGGAAUAUUGCACAAUGGGGGGAACCCUGAUGCAGCGACGCCGCGUGAGCGAAGAAGGUUUUCGAAUCGUAAGGCUCUGUCCCAUGAGAAGAUAAUGACGGUAUCAUAGGAGGAAGCCCCGGCUAAAUACGUGCCAGCAGCCGCGGUAAUAC